Molecule: transfer RNA, 95 nt
Filed under: Deltaproteobacteria bacterium
Lineage: Bacteria; Pseudomonadati; Myxococcota; Myxococcia
Description: tRNA-Sec
Rfam family: Selenocysteine transfer RNA
Source: RNAcentral
GGAGAAGGAAGGUGUCCGGUGGCGCCGCUGGUCUUCAAAACCAGUCUGGGGAUCGUAAGGUCCCCGGAGGGUUCGACUCCCUCCCUUCUCCGCCA